RNAcentral lists this ribosomal RNA (468 nucleotides) under uncultured bacterium. RNAcentral describes it as "partial 16S ribosomal RNA". It matches the Rfam family "Bacterial small subunit ribosomal RNA", at positions 28 to 507 of the family's 1533-position model. The record is from RNAcentral.
GACGAACGCUGGCGGCGUGCUUAACACAUGCAAGUCGAACGGAAAGGCCCUGCUUUUGUGGGGUGCUCGAGUGGCGAACGGGUGAGUAACACGUGAGUAACCUGCCCUUGACUUUGGGAUAACUUCAGGAAACUGGGGCUAAUACCGGAUAGGAGCUCCUGCUGCAUGGUGGGGGUUGGAAAGUUUCGGCGGUUGGGGAUGGACUCGCGGCUUAUCAGCUUGUUGGUGGGGUAGUGGCGUACCAAGGCUUUGACGGGUAGCCGGCCUGAGAGGGUGACCGGCCACAUUGGGACUGAGAUACGGCCCAGACUCCUACGGGAGGCAGCAGUGGGGAAUAUUGCACAAUGGGCAGAAGCCUGAUGCAGCAACGCCGCGUGCGGGAUGACGGCCUUCGGGUUGUAAACCGCUUUCGCCUGUGACGAAGCGUGAGUGACGGUAAUGGGUAAAGAAGCACCGGCUAACUACGUG